RNAcentral lists this ribosomal RNA (986 nucleotides) under human gut metagenome. RNAcentral's name for it is "bacterial LSU rRNA". It matches the Rfam family "Bacterial large subunit ribosomal RNA", at positions 1942 to 2925 of the family's 2925-position model. The record is from RNAcentral.
AUAACGGUCCUAAGGUAGCGAAAUUCCUUGUCGGGUAAGUUCCGACCUGCACGAAAGGCGCAACGACUUGGGCGCUGUCUCGACCAUGGACCCGGUGAAAUUGCACUGGUCGUGAAGAUGCGACUUACCCGCGGAAGGACGGAAAGACCCCGUGAACCUUCACUGCAGCUUGGCAUUGGCCGCUGGUCCCGCGUGUAGAGGAUAGGCAGGAGGCGAAGAUCCGGAGGCGCCAGCCCCCGGGGAGCCGCCCUUGGAAUACUGCCCUCGCGCGACCGGCGUCCUAACCCGAGGCCGUCAACCGGCUCGGGGACCGUGCCAGGCGGGCAGUUUGACUGGGGCGGUCGCCUCCUAAAGGGUAACGGAGGCGCGCGAAGGUCCGCUCGGGACGGUCGGCAACCGUCCUUUUGAAUGCAAGAGUACAAGCGGGCUUGACUGCGAGGCCCACAAGCCGAGCAGGUGCGAAAGCAGGCUCUAGUGAUCCGGCGGCCCCGAGUGGGUGGGCCGUCGCUCAACGGAUAAAAGGUACUCCGGGGAUAACAGGCUGAUCUUGCCCAAGAGUCCACAUCGACGGCAAGGUUUGGCACCUCGAUGUCGGCUCAUCGCAUCCUGGGGCUGGAGCAGGUCCCAAGGGUACGGCUGUUCGCCGUUUAAAGUGGUACGCGAGCUGGGUUUAAAACGUCGUGAGACAGUUUGGUCCCUAUCUUCUGUGGGCGUAGGAGAAUUGAGAGGGUUUGUCCCUAGUACGAGAGGACCGGGAUGAACGCACCACUGGUGGAUCAGUUGUCGCGCCAGCGGCAUAGCUGAGUAGCUAUGUGCGGAAUGGAUAACCGCUGAAAGCAUCUAAGCGGGAAGCCAGCCUCGAGAUAAGUUCUCCCUGUCGCAAGACACUAAAGGGCCGAUGCAGACUACAUCGUUGAUAGGCCGGAGGUGGAAGCGCUGCGAAGCGUGGAGCUGACCGGUACUAAUAGCCCGUGCGCCUUAUAUUU